GCAGGCCUAACACAUGCAAGUCGAGCGGUAGAGAGAAGCUUGCUUCUCUUGAGAGCGGCGGACGGGUGAGUAAUGCCUAGGAAUCUGCCUGGUAGUGGGGGAUAACGUUCGGAAACGGACGCUAAUACCGCAUACGUCCUACGGGAGAAAGCAGGGGACCUUCGGGCCUUGCGCUAUCAGAUGAGCCUAGGUCGGAUUAGCUAGUUGGUGAGGUAAUGGCUCACCAAGGCGACGAUCCGUAACUGGUCUGAGAGGAUGAUCAGUCACACUGGAACUGAGACACGGUCCAGACUCCUACGGGAGGCAGCAGUGGGGAAUAUUGGACAAUGGGCGAAAGCCUGAUCCAGCCAUGCCGCGUGUGUGAAGAAGGUCUUCGGAUUGUAAAGCACUUUAAGUUGGGAGGAAGGGUUGUAGAUUAAUACUCUGCAAUUUUGACGUUACCGACAGAAUAAGCACCGGCUAACUCUGUGCCAGCAGCCGCGGUAAUACAGAGGGUGCAAGCGUUAAUCGGAAUUACUGGGCGUAAAGCGCGCGUAGGUGGUUUGUUAAGUUGGAUGUGAAAUCCCCGGGCUCAACCUGGGAACUGCAUUCAAAACUGACUGACUAGAGUAUGGUAGAGGGUGGUGGAAUUUCCUGUGUAGCGGUGAAAUGCGUAGAUAUAGGAAGGAACACCAGUGGCGAAGG
RNAcentral lists this ribosomal RNA (684 nucleotides) under Pseudomonas sp. RNAcentral's name for it is "bacterial SSU rRNA". It matches the Rfam family "Bacterial small subunit ribosomal RNA", at positions 42 to 721 of the family's 1533-position model. The record is from RNAcentral. Lineage: Bacteria; Pseudomonadati; Pseudomonadota; Gammaproteobacteria; Pseudomonadales; Pseudomonadaceae.